RNAcentral lists this ribosomal RNA (530 nucleotides) under uncultured bacterium. RNAcentral's name for it is "partial 16S ribosomal RNA". It matches the Rfam family "Bacterial small subunit ribosomal RNA", at positions 28 to 523 of the family's 1533-position model. The record is from RNAcentral.
GACGAACGCUGGCGGCGUGCCUAAUACAUGCAAGUCGAACGAACUCUGGUAUUGAUUGGUGCUUGCAUCAUGAUUUACAUUUGAGUGAGUGGCGAACUGGUGAGUAACACGUGGGAAACCUGCCCAGAAGCGGGGGAUAACACCUGGAAACAGAUGCUAAUACAGCAUAACAACUUGGACCGCAUGGUCCGAGCUUGAAAGAUGGCUUCGGCUAUCACUUUUGGAUGGUCCGACGGCGUAUUAGCUAGAUGGUGGGGUAACGGCUCACCAUGGCAAUGAUACGUAGCCGACCUGAGAGGGUAAUCGGCCACAUUGGGACUGAGACACGGCCCAAACUCCUACGGGAGGCAGCAGUAGGGAAUCUUCCACAAUGGACGAAAGUCUGAUGGAGCAACGCCGCGUGAGUGAAGAAGGGUUUCGGCUCGUAAAACUCUGUUGUUAAAGAAGAACAUAUCUGAGAGUAACUGUUCAGGUAUUGACGGUAUUUAACCAGAAAGCCACGGCUAACUACGUGCCAGCCGCCGCCGUAA